RNAcentral lists this non-coding RNA (333 nucleotides) under Phlebia sp. RNAcentral's name for it is "partial contains 5.8S ribosomal RNA, internal transcribed spacer 2, and large subunit ribosomal RNA". The stretch from base 1 to 52 matches the Rfam family "5.8S ribosomal RNA", at positions 103 to 154 of the family's 154-position model. RNAcentral also lists the same sequence under 4 other names. Lineage: Eukaryota; Fungi; Basidiomycota; Agaricomycetes; Polyporales; Meruliaceae. The record is from RNAcentral.
AACGCACCUUGCGCUCCUUGGUAUUCCGAGGAGCAUGCCUGUUUGAGUGUCAUGGAAUUCUCAACCUUUGAAAGCUUUUAUCGGUUCUCAAAGGCUUGGACUUGGAGGUCGUGUCGGCUCUGCAAAGAAUAUCGACUCCUCUGAAACGUAUCAGUGCGAACCUUUACGGAUCGUCUUCGGUGUGAUAAACGUCUACGCCGUGGUCGUGAAGUAUGAUCGUGUCCGUGCUUCUAACCGUCUCCUUUGCGAGACAAAAACUGUGUUACUUACUAUAAGUAACAUAGGCAUUGACAAUCUGACCUCAAAUCAGGUAGGACUACCCGCUGAACUUAA